RNAcentral lists this ribosomal RNA (460 nucleotides) under uncultured bacterium. RNAcentral's name for it is "partial 16S ribosomal RNA". It matches the Rfam family "Bacterial small subunit ribosomal RNA", at positions 338 to 795 of the family's 1533-position model. The record is from RNAcentral.
CCUACGGGAGGCAGCAGUGAGGAAUAUUGGUCAAUGGACGCAAGUCUGAACCAGCCAUGCCGCGUGCAGGAAGACGGCUCUAUGAGUUGUAAACUGCUUUUGUACGAGGGUAAACGCUGAUACGUGUAUCUUUCUGCAAGGAUCGUACGCAUAAGGAUAGGCUAACUCCGUGCCAGCAGCCGCGGUAAUACGGAGGAUUCAAGCGUUAUCCGGAUUUAAUGGGUUUAACGGGUGCGUAGGCGGUCGGAUAAGUUAGAGGUGAAAUCCCGGGGCCCAACUUCGGAAUUGCCUUUGAUACUGUGCGGCUAGAGAGUAGUUGCGGUAGGCGGAAGUGAUGGUGUAGCGGUGAAAUGCUUAGAGAUCAUACAGAACACCGAUUGCGAAGGCAGCUUACCAAGCUACUUCUGACGUUGAGGCACGAAAGCGUGGGGAGCAAACAGGAUUAGAUACCCCAGUAGUC